UAAGACGAACCGUCCAAACGUUAUUCGGAAUCACUGGGCUUAAAGGGCGCGUAGGUGGGUUGGCCAGUCUAUGGUGAAAUCCUCCGGCUUAACCGGAGAACUGCCGUGGAUACUGCCAGUCUCGAGGAGGGUAGGGGCGUCUGGAACUAGCGGUGGAGCGGUGAAAUGCGUUGAUAUCGCUAGGAACUCCGGUGGCGAAGGCGAGACGCUGGACCCUUUCUGACACUGAGGCGCGAAAGCCAGGGGAGCGAACGGGAUUAGAUACCCCGGUAGUCCUGGCCCUAAACGAUGAGAACUGGAUAGCGGGCCUGACAUAGGCACGCUGUCGGAGCAAAAGUGUUAAGUUCUCCGCCUGGGGAGUAUGGUCGCAAGGCUG
RNAcentral lists this ribosomal RNA (376 nucleotides) under uncultured bacterium. RNAcentral's name for it is "bacterial SSU rRNA". It matches the Rfam family "Bacterial small subunit ribosomal RNA", at positions 521 to 896 of the family's 1533-position model. The record is from RNAcentral.